GGCUCUUUGAAAUAUAAGAAUAAAGAGUCGGACCUGCCCAGUGAAAAAUUUUUCAACGGCCGCGGUACUCUGACCGUGCAAAGGUAGCAUAAUCAUUUGCCUUAUAAUUGAAGGCCAGUAUGAAUGGUUUGACGAGAGUAAAUCUGUCUCGAUUUGAUUAAACAGAAUUUUAUUUUGAAGUGAAGAAGCUUGAAUAAAAUAAAUAGACAAGAAGACCCUAUCGAGCUUGAAAUAAUUUUGUAAAAGAAAUAAAAAUAAAUCUAAAACAUUGUUUACAAUUGAUUUUUGGUUGGGGCGACUUAGGAACAAACAAAGCUUCCUAAAUUAUGAGAGUUUACUAUGUGAUCCAAUAUUUUUUGAUUAAUGAAAUUAGUUACCGUAGGGAUAACAGCAUAAUCUUUUUUAAGAGUUCUUAUCGAAAAAAAGGUUUGUGACCUCGAUGUUGGACCAGAAUAUCCUAAAGAUGCAGCAGUCUUUAAAGGUUGGUCUGUUCGACCAUUAAAAUUCUACG
This 511-nucleotide ribosomal RNA is filed under the name Mitrella mindorensis. RNAcentral's name for it is "partial large subunit ribosomal RNA". It matches the Rfam family "Bacterial large subunit ribosomal RNA", at positions 1817 to 2600 of the family's 2925-position model. The record is from RNAcentral. Lineage: Eukaryota; Metazoa; Mollusca; Gastropoda; Neogastropoda; Columbellidae.